This 1359-nucleotide ribosomal RNA is filed under the name Lactiplantibacillus plantarum. RNAcentral's name for it is "bacterial LSU rRNA". It matches the Rfam family "Bacterial large subunit ribosomal RNA", at positions 1555 to 2925 of the family's 2925-position model. Lineage: Bacteria; Bacillati; Bacillota; Bacilli; Lactobacillales; Lactobacillaceae. The record is from RNAcentral.
GACAAGCUGUGAUGGGGAGCGAAAUUUAGUAGCGAAGCGUCUGAUGUCACACUGCCGAGAAAAGCUUCUAGUGAGUACUUAACUACCCGUACCGCAAACCGACACAGGUAGUCGAGGAGAGAAUCCUAAGGUGAGCGAGUGAACUCUCGUUAAGGAACUCGGCAAAAUGACCCCGUAACUUCGGGAGAAGGGGUGCUGAUCGCAAGAUCAGCCGCAGUGAAUAGGCCCAGGCGACUGUUUAUCAAAAACACAGGUCUCUGCAAAAUCGUAAGAUGACGUAUAGGGGCUGACGCCUGCCCGGUGCUGGAAGGUUAAAAGGAUGGGUUAGCUUCGGCGAAGCUCAGAAUUGAAGCCCCAGUAAACGGCGGCCGUAACUAUAACGGUCCUAAGGUAGCGAAAUUCCUUGUCGGGUAAGUUCCGACCCGCACGAAAGGCGUAACGAUCUGGGCACUGUCUCAACGAGAGACUCGGUGAAAUUAUAUUGUCCGUGAAGAUGCGGACUACCCGCGACAGGACGGAAAGACCCCAUGGAGCUUUACUGUAGCUUGAUAUUGAGUGUUUGUACAGCUUGUACAGGAUAGGUAGGAGCCAUAGAAACCGGAACGCUAGUUUCGGUGGAGGCGUUGGUGGGAUACUACCCUCGCUGUAUGACCACUCUAACCCGCACCACUAAUCGUGGUGGGAGACAGUGUCAGGUGGGCAGUUUGACUGGGGCGGUCGCCUCCUAAAAAGUAACGGAGGCGCCCAAAGGUUCCCUCAGAAUGGUUGGAAAUCAUUCGCAGAGUGUAAAGGCACAAGGGAGCUUGACUGCGAGACAGACAGGUCGAGCAGGGACGAAAGUCGGGCUUAGUGAUCCGGUGGUACCGUAUGGAAGGGCCAUCGCUCAACGGAUAAAAGCUACCCUGGGGAUAACAGGCUUAUCUCCCCCAAGAGUCCACAUCGACGGGGAGGUUUGGCACCUCGAUGUCGGCUCAUCGCAUCCUGGGGCUGUAGUCGGUCCCAAGGGUUGGGCUGUUCGCCCAUUAAAGCGGUACGCGAGCUGGGUUCAGAACGUCGUGAGACAGUUCGGUCCCUAUCCGUCGCGGGCGUAGGAAAUUUGAGAGGACCUGUCCUUAGUACGAGAGGACCGGGAUGGACAUACCUCUGGUGUACCAGUUGUGCCGCCAGGCGCAUCGCUGGGUAGCUACGUAUGGAUGUGAUAAACGCUGAAAGCAUCUAAGUGUGAAACACACCUCGAGAUGAGAUUUCCCAUUCCUUUAUGGAAGUAAGACCCCUGAAAGAUGAUCAGGUAGAUAGGUUAGAAGUGGCAGUGCGGUGACGCAUGAAGCGGACUAAUACUAAUCGGUCGAGGACUUAACC